Molecule: small RNA, 29 nt
Filed under: Bombyx mori (domestic silkworm)
Lineage: Eukaryota; Metazoa; Arthropoda; Insecta; Lepidoptera; Bombycidae
Description: ovarian small RNA-25171
Source: RNAcentral
UCACCGUCCUUCGCGGCCCCCCUACCUUC